GUCUCAAAUCUCAAAGCACUCGCUAAAAUUUCUCCUUCUGGCCAUCGUCUCCAAUCUCUCCGUUUCCGACGUGGCUGAUAUGAUCUUAAAUGAGCUGUGUCUGGUACAAUCUCCCGCCACUGUUUCAUCGGAGUCUAGGAAUUCGAUUUCCGGCGGUAAUGCCGGAAUUCGAUGAACGUCUAAUUCGAUGAAGGUUCGUGGAAUUGGAUGUAAUGGUUGAAUUGGAUGAACGGCUUAAUUGGAUAAACCCUAAAUCCGAUUUCCAAUUAGAAGUCUUACUCAAAUAUAGAGACCAAUGCUGGAUUCAAGACGUAGAUAACAGCUUCACUCUCUUUGUCACUGAUACUUUACCAUUGACUCUGAGUCUCUGAACAAGGAAUGACUAGAAAUGUGAGCAACAUAGGAACUUGGGCAGACGACUCUUUGUUGAUUGGUGAUCGUGUUCAUAACUCGGCAUCUCAGUUUCUUGGAAGCUGGCAAUCUGCGGCCGUGAUGGUACCUAAAAAAGAAGGAAGGUUAUGUAGAGACUUAAUAAACCAUAGUAGAGAGAAUGAGAGAUGGGUCAAGACUAGAAUAUUCAUUCACCUCUUUGUUUAGUCUCCCUUUAAAAUGUUCUAAAGCAUCAGCGUCAAGAGAAUCACAACCCUCUGCAUCGAGAAACUGAAGGCUCAAUGGAAGUUCUUCCAGUGAUUUGAGUUUCUUGCAGUUAUUGAGGCAGAUAGUUACCAAUGAGGUAAGAUCUCUGAUGCUUGAUGGCAAUGUCUUAAAAUCAUGGCUGCUCAUAUCUAAAAAUGUCAACUUGGUGAAAUGACUAAGCUGAUCUGACAAUGACUUCACAUUCUUGCAGUUGUCAAGGCAAAGCUCAAGCAAACAAUAUAUGCUCGGAUCCUGAAUUGUAUCAGAGGGUUUCACCAAUGAUCUGAGGUUCCUACAGUUGGAAAGUGUGAGAGACUGCACCUGAGUUAGCGCUGGCAAUUCCUUGAGUUUGGUGCAGUUUCGAAGACAGAGAGUUUUCAGCCGGGAAAGUCUACUCAUAUCUUCUGGCCAGGUAUAUAUGGAAAACUGUGAAAGGUGGUGAUAGGUUGCCCGUUCUCUUUGUAGCUGAACCUCCUGAUAUUGAGCGAAGUAGAU
Non-coding RNA from Camelina sativa (false flax), 1131 nucleotides. NCBI's taxonomy places the organism in Eukaryota, Viridiplantae, Streptophyta, Magnoliopsida, Brassicales, Brassicaceae. The record is from RefSeq and is a predicted model, not a curated record.